AGUGAACGCUGGCGGUAGGCCUAGCACAUGCAAGUCGAACGGCAGCACAGUAAGAGCUUGCUCUUACGGGUGGCGAGUGGCGGACGGGUGAGGAAUACAUCGGAAUCUACUUUUUCGUGGGGGAUAACGUAGGGAAACUUACGCUAAUACCGCAUACGACCUACGGGUGAAAGCAGGGGAUCUUCGGACCUUGCGCGAUUGAAUGAGCCGAUGUCGGAUUAGCUAGUUGGCGGGGUAAAGGCCCACCAAGGCGACGAUCCGUGGCUGGUCUGAGAGGAUGAUCAGCCACACUGGAACUGAGACACGGUCCAGACUCCUACGGGAGGCAGCAGUGGGGAAUAUUGGACAAUGGGCGCAAGCCUGAUCCAGCCAUACCGCGUGGGUGAAGAAGGCCUUCGGGUUGUAAAGCCCUUUUGUUGGGAAAGAAAAGCAGCAGGUUAAUACCCCGCUGUUCUGACGGUACCCAAAGAAUAAGCACCGGCUAACUUCGUG
RNAcentral lists this ribosomal RNA (492 nucleotides) under uncultured bacterium. RNAcentral describes it as "partial 16S ribosomal RNA". It matches the Rfam family "Bacterial small subunit ribosomal RNA", at positions 29 to 507 of the family's 1533-position model. The record is from RNAcentral.